UCUAUAAAGCAAACAAGUCUUGCAAACCUGGAAGGAUAAUAUUUUAUCGAGAUGGUGUUAGCGAAGGCCAAUUUAGCCAGGUCUUGCUUUAUGAAAUGGAUGCAAUAUACAGGGCUUGUUCUAGCUUAGAGAACGGAUACCUUCCUCAAGUUACAUUUGUUGUGGUACAAA
Long non-coding RNA from Hordeum vulgare subsp. vulgare (domesticated barley), 171 nucleotides. RefSeq lists it as uncharacterized. The record is from RefSeq and is a predicted model, not a curated record. Lineage: Eukaryota; Viridiplantae; Streptophyta; Magnoliopsida; Poales; Poaceae. The transcript is spliced from 3 exons.